This 497-nucleotide ribosomal RNA is filed under the name uncultured bacterium. RNAcentral describes it as "partial 16S ribosomal RNA". It matches the Rfam family "Bacterial small subunit ribosomal RNA", at positions 28 to 507 of the family's 1533-position model. The record is from RNAcentral.
GAUGAACGCUGGCGGCGUGCCUAAUACAUGCAAGUCGAGCGAACAGACGAGGAGCUUGCUCCUCUGAUGUUAGCGGCGGACGGGUGAGUAACACGUGGAUAACCUACCUAUAAGACUGGGAUAACUUCGGGAAACCGGAGCUAAUACCGGAUAACAUGUUGAACCGCAUGGUUCAACAGUGAAAGACGGUCUUGCUGUCACUUAUAGCUGGAUCCGCGCCGCAUUAGCUAGUUGGUAAGGUAACGGCUUACCAAGGCAACGAUGCGUAGCCGACCUGAGAGAGUGAUCGGCCGCACUGGAGCUUGGACACGGUCCAGACUCCUACGGGAGGCAGCAGUAGGGAAUCUUCCGCAAUGGGCGAAAGCCUGACGGAGCAACGCCGCGUGAGUUAAGAAGGUCUUCGGAUCGUAAAACUCUGUUAUUAGUGAAGAACAAAUGUGUAAGUAACUAUGCACGUCUUGACGGUACCUAAUCAGAAAGCCACGGCUAACUACGUG